UAGACUUUGUCCCUCCUCCUACUUGACAG
This 29-nucleotide non-coding RNA is filed under the name Mus musculus (house mouse). Lineage: Eukaryota; Metazoa; Chordata; Mammalia; Rodentia; Muridae. The record is from RNAcentral.